GACGUAGGGCGCGAGCGUUGUCCGGAUUUAUUGGGCGUAAAGAGCUCGUAGGCGGUCUGUCGCGUCUGCUGUGAAAACUCGGGGCUUAACCCCGGGCCUGCAGUGGGUACGGGCAGACUAGAGUGCGGUAGGGGAGACUGGAAUUCCUGGUGUAGCGGUGAAAUGCGCAGAUAUCAGGAGGAACACCGGUGGCGAAGGCGGUUCUCUGGGCAUGAUCUGACGCUGAGGAGCGAAAGUGUGGGGAGCGAACAGG
Molecule: ribosomal RNA, 253 nt
Filed under: uncultured bacterium
Lineage: Bacteria
Description: partial 16S ribosomal RNA
Rfam family: Bacterial small subunit ribosomal RNA
Source: RNAcentral